GGUUAGGCUAGUGUUGAUUUCCAGAUGAAGUGUGGACCGCAGCCUGCCAGAAGAAGUGCACAGAAUUCAGGGACAUACAGCGGCCCACCCCAGCAUUGAAGGUACGGGCUUGGACAGGUUGCGUGGAAGAAGAGCAGGCCGACACCAGUAGGCAGCUGUUCUGCGAUGCAUUGCGGUCAAUCCCUGAGUUGCAGCAGAUGAGGAGGUGUAUGCUGACCCUGAAGGAUUCCAACAGCAGUCAAGAAGAGAAGAGGAGGAUGCGCAGCAAGCAACAGAGCCCACCCGAGCCCAGCCCAGCCCACCUCAGCCCAGCC
Long non-coding RNA from Saccostrea cuccullata (small rock oyster), 314 nucleotides. RefSeq lists it as uncharacterized. Lineage: Eukaryota; Metazoa; Mollusca; Bivalvia; Ostreida; Ostreidae. The transcript is spliced from 4 exons. The record is from RefSeq and is a predicted model, not a curated record.